AUUGCUUCUCGGCCUUCUGGCUAAGAUCAAGUGUAGUGUAUGUUCUUAUCAGUUUAAAAUUGUACUCUUUAAAUCUGUAUUUUCACCCUUC
RNAcentral lists this small nuclear RNA (91 nucleotides) under Sorex araneus (European shrew). RNAcentral describes it as "U2 spliceosomal RNA (ENSSARG00000019414.1)". It matches the Rfam family "U2 spliceosomal RNA". Rfam says of the family: U2 is a small nuclear RNA (snRNA) component of the spliceosome (involved in pre-mRNA splicing). Complementary binding between U2 snRNA (in an area lying towards the 5' end but 3' to hairpin I) and the branchpoint sequence (BPS) of the intron results the bulging out of an unpaired adenosine, on the BPS, which initiates a nucleophilic attack at the intronic 5' splice site, thus starting the first of two transesterification reactions that mediate splicing. Lineage: Eukaryota; Metazoa; Chordata; Mammalia; Eulipotyphla; Soricidae. The record is from RNAcentral.